Molecule: non-coding RNA, 22 nt
Organism: Drosophila melanogaster (fruit fly)
Lineage: Eukaryota; Metazoa; Arthropoda; Insecta; Diptera; Drosophilidae
Source: Ensembl
UAUACGGUCUGGGACACUUUUA